Molecule: long non-coding RNA, 3019 nt
Filed under: Homo sapiens (human)
Lineage: Eukaryota; Metazoa; Chordata; Mammalia; Primates; Hominidae
Description: HSALNT0408541
Source: RNAcentral
CCUCACUCUGGAACCCCCUACAGAUCCCUCAUGAUCUGGCUAGAGACCAUAUAAAGUGGGGCUAAGAAUACCUCACAGGGUAAUGGAAAGAAUGAAAUGAGAUGAUGUAUCUAAAGCAUCUGGCAGAGGGUCUUACAUAGUAAGAAACUCUGAGUAAUGCCUGACACUUAUAACUCGUUAUUAAUAUCUCUCCAUCUCCAGCAACCAGCACGGUGCCUGGACAAUAGACAUUUGAGAACUAUUUGUUGAACUGAACUAUUUUGGAAAACUUUAGGCUGACAUAGACAUCUGAAGCAUAUCUUAGUAUAUAUGACUUCAGAAAUGAUUCUCUGUAGUUAAGCAGAAUGUGCUACCUCACUUUGCUAGGGCACCCAAAAGAGUUUUAACUCCAAAGAGUAGAUAGCCCUGUAACUCUCCAGUCAUGCAACUAAUAAGCAUAUCUUUCUGGUCCUUGAAGCCAUCAAUUUUAAUGCAGCUGAAGCUCAAAUGGGAUAGCUCACCACUUUGAAGUCAGACUUGUUAUCGUAAGUCAUCUCAUCAUCAUUCAAAAUGAAAGAGAACCCCAUUUCGUUUCCUUUCCUUAGAACAAGGGCUUCAGAACUCCCCAGGGCUAGCUAGUCUCAUUGGAUCGCUGACCUUUUCAGUAUUGAAAUUCCUAUGCAAAUUUCCUUCUCAGCAUCCCAGGGCUUUGAUCCUUUGUGCGAUGAAUUUUAUUUGUCGAAUGGAUGAAAAAUGCAGUUAUCAGACAUGCCCAGGUCACCUUUGGAGAGUGUUGUGAUAACAAAUGUCCCCAAAUGCGACCAUUGAUUUUCUCUUCCUUUGAGGACCUUAAAGAGCCUCUAGGUUAACCCCAUUAUCAUCAGAUCAUCAGUGAUCACUUCUCAGAAGUUUAGCUAGACAGAAAAAGUGGAUGAAAUUGAACUGAAUUUGUAUCAAUCCCAGUCAUUGCCUAAAAUCUGGCAGUUCAACUAAAACUCUGAUAGUUGGUUAUGUUGUCACUUUUCUCUUUUCCCUGAAAACUGGUAUAUGGAACCUCCCACCCACCACCAACACGCACAAAAAAGCCCAACUAGUGGAGGAUUAUGGAUUCACAUGUUCUGAGGGGAUUUAAUUUGAGGAAAGAAUGACUCUAGUGUGGUUUUGAUCAGGAGAGGCUGCCUGGAGAAGGUCUCUAGCCAGACCAUGAAGGACUGGUAGGGGAUUCCAGAGUCGAGGAAGAGGAUCUGGAUGUGAGGCAAAGCACAUAGUGUGCACAUAAUAAACUAGGGUUGAUGCUAGUGGUUUUAUGCUCAGGGCAAGACUGGGAUUGCCCUCUCUUCUGUCCAAAUCAUCAGAAACAAACCAUGGAAGGUCCAGAAACACAGAGGCUGAAAAUAUUCACCCCUAGGGAAAAGCACUUGCUAGGAGUGGGAGAUAUAAUUUAUUUUCUUUUCUUUUUCUUUUCUUUUCUUUUUUUUUGGAGACAAUGUCUUGUAAUAUUUCCCAGGCUGGAGUGCAGUGGCAAUUCACCGGCACGAUCAUAGCUCGCUGCAGUAUUGAACUCCUGGGCUCAAGCUAUCCUCCCACCAUGUCCGGCAGAAAAUAUGAUUUCUGAUCUUUAUUCUACCACUGACUUGUUCUAUGAUGAUGGUCAGGUCAUUUAAACCUCUCUUAGAUCAUUUCCUUGGCAAUAAGAUAGAUGUAUAAUCAGGCUACCAUACAGAACUGGUGGGAAGAUUAUACGAGAGCUCACAAAUAUCUAUCAGAUAUAAGUUAUUGAGAUACUAUUAUUAAAAUGUAAAUAUCACAGGAAGGGAGACCACCUUCAGUCUUGUCAGCUUGCAUCUUAUUGGAUAAUUAAUGCAGCUGCUCAAGGACCCCACGAAAUGGGCAUCAAGUACAGAGAAGAGAGAGAAUUUUUUUAAAACAAAUGAAGAAACCAAAUCUCAGAGAGCUUUAAUCACUACCCAGUUGUGAAGCAGGGACUAUGCCAAAUCAUUUAUCAUAAAUGUAAAUUACUUCACUGUUUUGUGCCAAUACUCUGGAAACCUGUUUGUAUCUCUUCGGAAGGCCCUGCCUUCCACAGGAAGGUUCUGCCAGACAUGGUGGGAGGAUCCCUUGAGCCCAGGAGUUUGAGGCUGCAGUGAGCUAUGAUUGUGCUGGGAAUUGGUGAGAAUUUCAAGGGGAAACUUGACUGAGAGGAAGAGAAAGCUAAAGAAGUAUCAAAUUCCUCUCUAAGACAUCUUCACUAGUCUUCCAGAACAUCUCCGCCUUGGGAAGCAGAACUCUGAGGUCCAGGAAGACCUUCCGACCAAUCCACUGAGACAUUGCUACGGCUGCCUCCUCUUCACUUUCUGGCCUCUUGAGCCAACAUCCAACAUGAUCUUCAUGAGAGGUUGCCGGUUACCUUUCUAAAAACGUAUUUGACCAGAUUUCUUCAUGAUAUUUCAAAAUGUAAAGGCAGAAAACAAGUUAAACUUUAAACAAAUUUAAAUUUAAACAAUCUAAAAGGGAAUUUAAGUAAGCGUAUGACUUUGUUGCAGAGGUUCUAGGCUUCCUUUUUUACAAAAGGAUGGGAAAUUUUAAAGCAACUGCUCUGACUAACCCAGAAAAAUCUUUCUUUGUUUAUCUCCUUUGUAUUUAGCCCCAAUAUCUGAGAAAAUUUUAAACAUAGUUUUUUUUUCUAGGAUUGGUGCCUAAGGGUCAUUCCCUUACGAAAACCCUAACUUUUUUUACACCUUUGUUGAAUGAAGGAGCUGGUGGAAGUUCAAAUUUGUGUGUUAACAUGUGACUUCAAUUAGAGUCUGAAGAUGGCCACUUGUUAGUAAUCUCACACUGCAUCAUUUUAAAAAAACACAGCAUUUUUGUUCUGGUGAAGAGAGAGGCACUGGAAUUCAUCCCCAUUGUCCACUCCCCACCCAGUGUAUUUUACAGAAAUUCUUAACAAGUUUAAUAGUGUGCUAUUAUAACAUAAUUGCAGCAUUACACCAGAAGCAUUAUCAACACUAAGUAUUCUCCAAUUUAGAAUGCAUGAAUAAAG